This 233-nucleotide long non-coding RNA is filed under the name Gossypium raimondii (Peruvian cotton). RNAcentral describes it as "long non-coding RNA (GRAI_LNC005570)". Lineage: Eukaryota; Viridiplantae; Streptophyta; Magnoliopsida; Malvales; Malvaceae. The record is from RNAcentral.
CUUUCCUUUCUUUUUUAUUCGUCUGUUUUCUGUUUCUUUUUUUAGCUAUUUUGUUUCUAUUUCUCCUUUUCUAUUUUUUAUUUAAUUAGUUUAAUAUAAUAACAAUAAAAUAAUAAAAUAAUAUUAUUUACUUAAAUGAUAAGAAAUAUGUAAUAAUUACUAAUAUAUGUAUUUCAUUUUUCCACAUGUCAUCAUAUGCACCAUACAUUUGUCAACUUUUUAUUUAUUUAAAA